AACUAGAUGGAUCAUGCAUUGUUUCAGCACCUUCUAAUUAGCUAGUUGUCUUGAACAGUACACUCCUUGAUUCUUCUGUAUUUCCACUUAUUGUUCCAAUUCCAUGGAUAACAGAGGAAAGUAACCUUGUUGCAUUCGGCAUAGAAAUGGGUAACAAUUUAAUACACCAAAGAAAACUACAAGAUCGUGGCCAUGGUAAACAAAUCGAUGAGAAUGCAAGACCAGGUGUAAGGCUUGAAGACCUUCCAUGGGACCUUGUAGUAUACAAAAUUUUAUCUAAAUUACCACUGAAAGAGGCUGCAAAAACUAGUGUUUUGUCUACCAAGUGGAGGUGCAUCUGGUUGACGUGCCCCAGAUUGUGUUUUGAUGGUCUUGCGAUGUUCAAAUGCGAAAGGGGUGAACUGUUCUUACACGCUCGGCAAUUCAUUGCUCAGGUUAAUGCUGUUUUGCAAAAAUACCAGGGAGAAGUGGUUGAGGAAUUUCAUAUCAGAUUUGAUUUUCACAGCAUACCAGCUCAUUAUCUUGAUAAUUGGGUUAUCUUUUCCUUGUCAUCUAAGAUGAAGAAUCUAGCUUUAGAUCUGCAAACCAAUGAUAUUGAACGAUAUCCUGCACGCUACAAAUUCCCCUUUGAACUUUUGGACAGUGGAAGCUUGUCCGGUCUACAACAUGUGCAGUUCAGUUUUGUAUCUAUCAAACCACCUUCCAAGUUCAGAGGUUUCCCUAACCUGAGAAAGCUUGAUCUGCAACUUCUAGAUGCCUCUUCAAAGGAUUUUGAAACUAUGCUGUCAAAUUGCAAACUUCUUGAAUGGCUAAGCAUGGACAGAUGCCGCCUGAAUGGUGAACUUAGGGUAGGUAGUCCAUUGCCCCGUCUGGUAUACCUACAAGUUGUGUACUGCCAAGUAACCAAGAUACAAUUCCAUGCUGUGGAGCUAGCUAAUUUUGUAUAUAAAGGAGACUUUGUGCCCAUAGCCCUCAAGCAUUCGUUGAAGCUGGAAAAUGCAAACAUCAGGUUAUAUAGUUUGAAUGAUCGGCAUGCUAUCAGUGACCUGACUAAGUUGUUAUCAGAUACACCUUGGAAGUUUUCUCAUCUCAGGUACUUGCGGUUGAAAAACUUUGCAGAUUCUGGGAUCGUGGAGAUGAAUUUUUUUGUCUCUUUUCUCAGGGCUGCUCCUUUUAUUGAGAAGUUAGAGAUCCAUUUUUCCAUGAAUUUAUUAAUACUGGAUGAAUCGCAUGAGGACCAUCCUAUCAGGCAACAACUUGGACGCUGUGAAUACAAUAACCUGAAGAACAUGCGUAUCAUAGGAUAUAAAGGUUCAAGAGAUCAGGUCGAAUUUCUUCUACAUGUUGUGGAGAAUGCCCCUGCACUUGAGGUUUUAACUCUAGAGGCAGCUGGAAUAGAGUACCAGGAGGUUUCAUUUGUGUUGAAUGAAGCGUGGAUCGACAGAAUUACUCAGAGUGCCGAUAGAUCUGCUCUGAUUGCUCAACAGUAUCUGAGGGAGAAACUUAGCUCAAAGACACAGCUUUGUAUUAAGACUACUAGUUCCAGAUAGAGCUAGCGCUCUAUGCAAGCCAUGUGAAAAUAGCCAUUAGUGUAAGAUUAAUU
This 1603-nucleotide long non-coding RNA is filed under the name Oryza sativa Indica Group (long-grained rice). RNAcentral's name for it is "lncRNA OsLima_06g0017970". The record is from RNAcentral. Lineage: Eukaryota; Viridiplantae; Streptophyta; Magnoliopsida; Poales; Poaceae.